Molecule: ribosomal RNA, 500 nt
Filed under: uncultured bacterium
Lineage: Bacteria
Description: partial 16S ribosomal RNA
Rfam family: Bacterial small subunit ribosomal RNA
Source: RNAcentral
AUUGAACGCUGGCGGCAUGCCUUACACAUGCAAGUCGAACGGCAGCACGGGAGCAAUCCUGGUGGCGAGUGGCGAACGGGUGAGUAAUGUAUCGGAACGUGCCCAGUCGUGGGGGAUAACGUAGCGAAAGCUACGCUAAUACCGCAUACGAUCUAUGGAUGAAAGCGGGGGAUCGCAAGACCUCGCGCGAUUGGAGCGGCCGAUAUCGGAUUAGGUAGUUGGUGGGGUAAAGGCUCACCAAGCCGACGAUCUGUAGCUGGUCUGAGAGGACGACCAGCCACACUGGGACUGGGACACGGCCCAGACUCCUACGGGAGGCAGCAGUGGGGAAUUUUGGACAAUGGGCGCAAGCCUGAUCCAGCAAUGCCGCGUGCAGGAUGAAGGCCUUCGGGUUGUAAACUGCUUUUGUACGGAACGAAACGGUGAGCUCUAAUACAGUUUGCUAAUGACGGUACCGUAAGAAUAAGCACCGGCUAACUACGUGCCAGCCGCCGCCGUAA